This 494-nucleotide ribosomal RNA is filed under the name uncultured bacterium. RNAcentral's name for it is "partial 16S ribosomal RNA". It matches the Rfam family "Bacterial small subunit ribosomal RNA", at positions 29 to 507 of the family's 1533-position model. The record is from RNAcentral.
ACGAACGCUGGCGGCGUGCCUAAUCCAUGCAAGUAGAACGCUGAAGGCGGAGCUUGCUUCUCUGGCUGAGUUGCGAACGGGUGAGUAACGCGUAGGUAACCUGCCUGGUAGCGGGGGGUUACUAUUUGAAACGAUAGCUAAUACCGCAUAAGAGUAGCUGUUGCCUGACAUUUACUUAAAAGGUGCAAUUGCAUCACUACCAGAUGGACCUGCGUUGUAUUGGCUAGUUGGUGAGGUAACGGCUCACCAAGGACACGAUACAUAGCCGACCUGGGAGGGUGAUCGGCCACACUGGGACGGAGACACGGCCCAGACGCCUACGGGAGGCAGCAGGAGGGAAUCUUCAGCAAUGGACGGAAGUCUGACCGAGCAACGCCGCGUGAGUGAAGAAGGGUGUCGGAUCGUAAAGCUCUGUUGUAAGAGAAGAACGAGUUUGAGAGUGGAAAGUUCACACUGUGACGGUAGCUUACCAGAAAGGGACGGCUAACUACGUG